This 457-nucleotide ribosomal RNA is filed under the name uncultured organism. RNAcentral's name for it is "bacterial SSU rRNA". It matches the Rfam family "Bacterial small subunit ribosomal RNA", at positions 346 to 794 of the family's 1533-position model. The record is from RNAcentral.
GUGCAGCAGGCGAGAAUUUUUCUCAAUGGGCGAAAGCCUGAAGGAGCGACGCCGCGUGGGGGAUGAAUGGCUUCGGCCCGUAAACCCCUGUCAUUUGUGAACAAAUUGCUUCACCUAACACGUGAAGCAUUGAUUGUAACGGAAGAGGAAGGGACGGCUAAACUCUGUGCCAGCAGCCGCGGUAAUACAGAGGUCCCAAGCGUUGUUCGGAUUCACUGGGCGUAAAGGGUGCGUAGGCGGUUUGAUAAGUCUGAUGUGAAAUCCCGCAGCUUAACUGCGGAACUGCAUUGGAAACUGUUUGACUAGAGGAAUGGAGGGGAGACUGGAAUACUUGGUGUAGCAGUGAAAUGCGUAGAUAUCAAAGUGGAACACCAGUGGCGAAGGCGAGUCUCUGGACAUUUCCUGACGCUGAGGUACGAAAGCCAGGGGAGCAAACGGGAUUAGAUACCCGCGUAGU